GAUGAAGAACGCAGCGAAAUGCGAUAAGUAAUGUGAAUUGCAGAAUUCAGUGAAUCAUCGAAUCUUUGAACGCACCUUGCGCCCUUUGGCCAUUCCGAAGGGCAUGCCUGUUUGAGUAUCAUGAACACCUCAACUCUUCAUGGUUUUCCAUGAUGAGCUUGGACUUUGGGGGUCUUGCUGGCCUGUGGGUCGGCUCCUCUCAAAUGAAUCAGCUUGCCGGUUUUUGGUGGGCAUCACAGGUGUGAUAACUAUCUACGCUUGUGGUUUUCCACCAGGGUAACCUUCAGCAGUGGAGGUUCACUGGAGCUUACAAAUGUCUCUUCUCUGUGAGGACAGCCCUUUGAAUGUUUGAUCUCAAAUCAGGUAGGACUACCCGCUGAACUUAAGCAUAUCAAUAAGCGGAGGA
Molecule: unclassified non-coding RNA, 406 nt
Filed under: soil metagenome
Description: partial contains 5.8S ribosomal RNA, internal transcribed spacer 2, and large subunit ribosomal RNA
Rfam family: 5.8S ribosomal RNA (bases 1-121)
Source: RNAcentral